AUGCGUGCUGUCCUGACCUUGGGUAACUCAGCUGCCCCGUCUCCCAGGUGCCUCUUCUCUCAGGUCCCAGGUGCAAGUGCUACGUGGUCUUCGACAUGCAGCCCAGAUUCAGCAUCUCCACGCACACCCUCGGCGGCAUGGAUUUCUCAGAGCCCCGGACUCGCUCACCUUGGACUCGCACUGCACCGGCUGGCGGCUCUUCUCCCUCCCCCCCCCAAGAAUGGGAGGAGCUCCGAGGCAGGAGAGGACCCAGCCCGCCCACCUGGCUCUUAUCUCCAGUAUCCACUCCGAUUGUGGAUCUUUGACCUUCACCCUGGAUGUGUUUGUCUCUGGCUCCCUGGGACCUCUAGUCACGGUGCCUCCUCUUCUCUGAGCACAAUUCUUCUGGGACCUUCUUCUCCUCUUCUGUAGGCUCAGGGGUGAGUCUGGAAGAGAAGCUGGUAUACCCCGUUCCUGUCCUACAUACUCCUGUCUAUCUCAGGACAGCACCCCUGCUCCUCCAAGGAGUUUCUCCUUCCUUGCUGGUCAUGGAACCUCUCAGAAGCAAGGCAAGAGCAGCUGAUGAAGGGGUCACAGCCACCGAGAGGAGGCCAGUGGGUGGAAUUCGCAGCAACCGCAGCUCUGAGGUUUGGAAGACAAACAACUUCUGUUUCAGACAAAUGGGAGUGUCAGGUUCUUCCAGCCUGAUGAGAUUACAGCUCAGAGGAUCACGAGGAAUCGAUUCCUCCAGAAGAGGAAAAACACAGCUGGCACAGGAGCUCUGCAGAGCCUUCUGCUAAAGGUAACGCGGGGUCACAGGUUGCGAGGUUCCAGGUGAGGAAGAGAUUAGGGCACGUGCAUCAAGCCCCAGAUACGGGAAGUGGUGGAUCCAGGGUACGUCGUGAACAUUUGGUGAUGGAAGCAUGACUGGCGUUUCAGAGGCACCAGCUUCUGGGUCCCUUCUGUCUGUCCAGACAAGGCAGAGGAGACAGGAGGAGUUCAGA
Molecule: long non-coding RNA, 983 nt
Filed under: Sus scrofa (pig)
Lineage: Eukaryota; Metazoa; Chordata; Mammalia; Artiodactyla; Suidae
Description: lncRNA (ENSSSCG00070025608.1)
Source: RNAcentral